AAGGUACGGUCCAGUUUCUUACAUAUGUGAAAUGGAGAUGAUACAGACUGCAGUUCCUCUCGGCAUCAGCAGAGACGCUGUUAAAUUGAAGGAACUAAAAGUUUCAGUCCUCGCUCAUCUUCGGUCUUGCUCUUAAGAGAGAUUAUGCCCCACUGGCAAGAGAUCUUAGGAGAGAACUGUGAUGCUUUUGUUUGCUGAACAAACCCUGAUUCAUCACUUUCCUUACAUCACCACCCAGCUCUCCAGCUUCUCAACCCAGAGACUGGUAUUUCUUUCCUUUAGUGAAUGGGAUAAAAUUGCAAGAAGCGAACACAAAAGGCUUUGGGGGCUGGCUGCCAUCAGCGUGACAAGGCAUACGCUUGAGGCACCAAAUUGGGUUUCACAGGCAAUCUUAAUUUUUGCAUUAUUUUACUUUUG
Columba livia (rock pigeon) is the source of this 417-nucleotide long non-coding RNA. RefSeq lists it as uncharacterized. The record is from RefSeq and is a predicted model, not a curated record. The transcript has 3 exons. Lineage: Eukaryota; Metazoa; Chordata; Aves; Columbiformes; Columbidae.